Molecule: ribosomal RNA, 632 nt
Filed under: Pseudozyma sp.
Lineage: Eukaryota; Fungi; Basidiomycota; Ustilaginomycetes; Ustilaginales; Ustilaginaceae
Description: LSU rRNA
Rfam family: Eukaryotic large subunit ribosomal RNA
Source: RNAcentral
AAUAGCGGAGGAAAAGAAACUAACAAGGAUUCCCCUAGUAACGGCGAGUGAAGAGGGAAGAGCCCAAGAUUGAAAGCUGGCGUCUUCGGCGUCCGCAUUGUAAUCUCAAGAAGUGUUUUCCGCUUCGGACCAUGCCUAAGUCCCUUGGAAAAGGGUAUCAUAGAGGGUGAUAAUCCCGUACAUGGCAUGGAGCGCCCGAAGCUUUGUGAUACGCUUUCUACGAGUCGAGUUGUUUGGGAAUGCAGCUCAAAAUGGGUGGUAAAUGCCAUCUAAGGCUAAAUAUUGGGGAGAGACCGAUAGCGAACAAGUACAGUGAUGGAAAGAUGAAAAGAACUUUGAAAAGAGAGUUAAACAGUACGUGAAAUUGCCAAAAGGGAAGGGUAGGAGGUCAGAGAUGCGUCUUGGGAUUCAGCCUUGCUUUUGCAUGGUGUUUUUCCCAAGCUGCAGGCCAACGUCGGUUUUGGGCACUGGAGAAGGGUAGGAGGAACGUGGCACCUCUCGGGGUGUGUUAUAGCCUCCUACUGGAUACAGCGACCGAGACCGAGGAACGCAGCGUACUCGUAAGAGCGGGCCUUUUGGCACCUUUACGCUUAGGGCGUUGGCAUAAUGGCCCUCUACCACCCGUCUUGAAC